This 439-nucleotide ribosomal RNA is filed under the name Escherichia coli. RNAcentral's name for it is "partial 23S ribosomal RNA". It matches the Rfam family "Bacterial large subunit ribosomal RNA", at positions 1305 to 1746 of the family's 2925-position model. The record is from RNAcentral. Lineage: Bacteria; Pseudomonadati; Pseudomonadota; Gammaproteobacteria; Enterobacterales; Enterobacteriaceae.
AGUAACGAUAAAGCGGGUGAAAAGCCCGCUCGCCGGAAGACCAAGGGUUCCUGUCCAACGUUAAUCGGGGCAGGGUGAGUCGACCCCUAAGGCGAGGCCGAAAGGCGUAGUCGAUGGGAAACAGGUUAAUAUUCCUGUACUUGGUGUUACUGCGAAGGGGGGACGGAGAAGGCUAUGUUGGCCGGGCGACGGUUGUCCCGGUUUAAGCGUGUAGGCUGGUUUUCCAGGCAAAUCCGGAAAAUCAAGGCUGAGGCGUGAUGACGAGGCACUACGGUGCUGAAGCAACAAAUGCCCUGCUUCCAGGAAAAGCCUCUAAGCAUCAGGUAACAUCAAAUCGUACCCCAAACCGACACAGGUGGUCAGGUAGAGAAUACCAAGGCGCUUGAGAGAACUCGGGUGAAGGAACUAGGCAAAAUGGUGCCGUAACUUCGGGAGAAGG